GGAAGCAGCUGAGAAAGCAGAAAAGCAGCAGGCUACGAUUAACUUUUUGAAGACUGAAAUGGAAAGAAAGAGCAAAAUGAUCCGUGCCCUCCAAAACGAGAACAAAAGCCUCAAAAACAAGCUCCUGUCAGGAAACAAACUUUGUGGUAUUCAUGCAGAAGAGGUAAGGAAG
Long non-coding RNA from Lagopus leucura (white-tailed ptarmigan), 172 nucleotides. RefSeq lists it as uncharacterized. The transcript has 3 exons. Lineage: Eukaryota; Metazoa; Chordata; Aves; Galliformes; Phasianidae. The record is from RefSeq and is a predicted model, not a curated record.